This 253-nucleotide ribosomal RNA is filed under the name uncultured bacterium. RNAcentral's name for it is "partial 16S ribosomal RNA". It matches the Rfam family "Bacterial small subunit ribosomal RNA", at positions 524 to 776 of the family's 1533-position model. The record is from RNAcentral.
UACGGGGGGAGCAAGCGUUGUUCGGAUUUACUGGGCGUAAAGGGCGCGUAGGCGGCUUGACAAGUCACUUGUGAAAUCUCCGGGCUUAACUCGGAACGGCCAAGUGAAACUGUCAUGCUAGAGUGCAGAAGGGGCAAUCGGAAUUCUUGGUGUAGCGGUGAAAUGCGUAGAUAUCUGGAGGAACACCGGUGGCGAAGGCGGCAUCCUGGACCGGCAUUGACGCUGAGGCGCGAAAGCUAGGGGAGCAAACGGG